UCGGGAAUUUUGGGCAAUGGGCGAAAGCCUGACCCAGCAACGCCGCGUGAAGGAUGAAGUAUUUCGGUAUGUAAACUUCGAAAGAAUAGGAAGAAUAAAUGACGGUACUAUUUAUAAGGUCCGGCUAACUACGUGCCAGCAGCCGCGGUAAUACGUAGGGACCAAGCGUUGUUCGGAUUUACUGGGCGUAAAGGGCGCGUAGGCGGCAAUUCAAGUCAUCUGUGAAAUCUCCGGGCUUAACUCGGAACGGUCAGAUGAUACUGCUUUGCUAGAGUGCAGAAGGGGCAAUCGGAAUUCUUGGUGUAGCGGUGAAAUGCGUAGAUAUCAAGAGGAACACCUGAGGCGAAGACGGGUUGCUGGGCUGACACUGACGCUGAGGCGCGAAAGCCAGGGGAGCAAACGGGAUUAGAUACCCCUGUAGUCCCUGAGCGGGCUGGCAAGGCGCAU
RNAcentral lists this ribosomal RNA (447 nucleotides) under uncultured bacterium. RNAcentral describes it as "bacterial SSU rRNA". It matches the Rfam family "Bacterial small subunit ribosomal RNA", at positions 355 to 825 of the family's 1533-position model. The record is from RNAcentral.